AUCCGAGAAAAUGAUCACAGAGGAUUCCGGGAUCGGCUGAUGUUCGCUAUUGUCGAGGAAACACACAUCGCUCACGCUUCGGCACCGUACACAUCUCACAAUAUACAAGAAAAUGAUCACAGAGGACUCUGGGAUCGGCUGAUGUUCGCUAUUGUCGAAGAAACGCUCAACGCUCCGCUUCGGCACCGUACACAACUCACAAUAUUUAAGUCUGAUAGCAAUCUACGAUAUAUCUAACAAUCGAAUCAUACAAGUGGUAAUAAGAAGUACUGCAUGAGUGGCGAUAUGCGAUAAAACAUACCGUCAUAAUAUGAAUAAAUGAGACUGUAACCAUCAUCGUCGUAAGGGCAGAUCACAGAUGUUUCGUAACCGCCAACGUAUUUCACCUGACAAUCAUUGACAUCGUCGACAUCAGACAUUGUUGCAGUCAUCGGUUUCGCGCGGAGACAUGGAGGGUGUCAGCGCUUCGUCUAACGCACAAACAACGUUCAAAUAGACAUUCGUUUUGUGGUCUGUUUCAUGAAUUGUAUGCCUACGUUACGUUAUUACUGAAUGUAACCGACGGUGGUUACGUUGCAGUUGAUUUUUCACACUAUGCCAAAUGCAAGUACCCGCAGUACGUCUUGUUCUGCUCAAUGACAUUCCGUAAAACAGUUCGGUCCGUUGGAGACAUAAAACAGUGAAAGCGAACAAUUGUAAUCAUAGUUGAAACUGUAUAUCGUAAAAUCUUUCGGGUGCUGAAUAUUAACAACACUGAAAUGCGGUAUUUGCCAGUUCAAUUUACAUAUGAACGCCAGUGAGGAAUACACUGUGAUCAAAUGCAUAUUACAGGCAAACACCGCGUUGCAGUGUUGUUAGUAUUGAGUGUUCGAAAAUUAUACGGUUUUGUUCGGGUUCGACCAAUGUAAAUAUUGUUCGCCUACACCGUUUCCUAUUCCGAUUCGGAUGAGCGGUUUUCCUACAAUGAACGUUACUAGGCAGUCCAAGCGCUGUAGGUUUUAUGUAAAUUUGGCAAUUGGUAUAACGAGUCUGCGGCUACCAACAGUUUCGGCCGUCAAUUACAAUGAUAAUAAUAACGUUGUCAUACAAUUCGGGGCUCAGGUCGCAUAUGCGAUGUCUGUUUGGGCGUUGUUUGUACGGGAGAGGACGUGCUGACACAUUUCGGUCUCCUAAGAACAUCAGCUAUUGGGGCACCGGCAAAAUGACCGAACAGGCGACCUGCCGGUAGACGGACAGAACUCUUUCAAGGAAUUCUUUCUCAAACCUCAUAACGCAGACGCCGACCGCUUUCACAUAUGGCUACACAAGAUGCACUGUAUCCAUAUUUUUGUACAGAUCCGAGGAGUGAUCUCAGAGUUUUCCGGGAUCUGCUGAUGUUCGCUAUUGUCGAAUAAACGCUCAUCGCUCACGCUUCGACACCUUACACAACUUUCAAGAUUUAAGUCUAAUAGAAUACUACGAUAUAUCAAACAAUUAAAUCAUACAAGUGACAAUAAGAACUACUGCAUAAGUUACGAUAUGUGAUAAAAAAUAUGAUUCGUAAACGUCGACAACUACUUAUCUACCUCCACGUAAUAUAUGAGAUUAUGAACGCUCUGUAUGCUGUCGGUUAUCUGCUAACUGAAUUGUGCUGGUUGAAUCCUGGCAAUUGACAUCAUCGACAUCAGCCCAAUCUGACUUUGUUGCAGUCAUCGGUUUCGCGCGGAGACAAGGAGGGUGUCAGCGCUUCGUCUAACGCACAAACAACGUUCAAAUAGACAUUCGUUUUGUGAUUUGUUUCCAGACUUGUAUGCCUACGUUACGUUAUUAUUGAAUGUAACUGGCGGUGGUUACUUUAGUCUUGACGAUUGCAGUUGAUUUGUCACCUUAGGCCAAAUGCAAGUACCCGCAGUACGUCUUGUUCUGCUCAAUAACAUUCCGUAAAACAGUUCGGUCUGUUGGAGACAUAAAAUAGUGACAGCGAACAAUUGUAAUCAUAGUUGAAACUGUAUAUCGUAAAAUCUUUCGGGUGCUGAAUAUUAACAACACUGAAAUGCGGUAUUUGCCAGUUCAAUUUACAUAUGAACGCCAGUGAGGAAUACACUGUGAUCAAAUGCAUAUUACAGGCAAACACCGCGUUGCAGUGUUGUUAGUAUUGAGUGUUCGAAAAUUAUACGGUUUUGUUCGGGUUCGACCAAUGUAUAUAUAUAUACUGUUCGCCAACAACGUUUCAUAUUCCGAUUCGAAUGAGUGUUUUCGAUAACGAACGUUACUGGGCAGUGCAAGCACUGUAGGUUUUAUCUAAAUUUGGCAAUUGGUAUAACGAGUCUGCGGCUACCAACAGUUUCUGCCGUCAAUUACAAUGAUAAUAAUAACGUAAGUCAUACAAUUCGGGGCUCAGGUCGCAUAUGCGAUGUCUGUUUGGGCGUUGUUUGUACGGGAGAGGACGUGCUGACACAUUUCGGUCUCCUAAGAGCAUCGAUUUGGGCACCGGCAAAACGACCGAACAGGCGACCUGCCGGUAGACGGACAGAAAUCCUUCAGAUAGGAAUUCUCUCUCGAUUCUCAUAACUACGACACCGACCACUUUUAACAUAAAUUAAAUGAUAAAUGUUUAUACUUGAAUCCGAAAAAAAAAUGUAAAAAUAAUACUAUUAAUUUAGUAGUUAAAUAAUAACUGUUUAUAUGCUUUGUUGCAUUAUAAAAAAAAAAAAACUGUAAAGCUAUUUAUAUAUAUUAUGUAUUUUUUAAUUGUUUAAUAACGUUUGUAAUUUCUUCUAAGCGGUUACUAGGAUACUAAAAAUAUGUCUAAUUACUUUUUUUUAUUAUUAUUUAAUUUUUAUGAAUUAUUUUGUUAUAAUAUAUACCAUCCCCGGAUGCAUCCAAAUUUCACGUAAAAAAAAAAAAAAUGUAUAUGUUUAUAUUUUAUAUAUAGCUAUAUCAGGGACGUACGCAAAAUAAAGUUUUAGGGGUAUUUUUGAAAAUCAGUGAUUGAAAAGUAAAACUUUUUUAAAUAAAUAUACAAAAAGAAUUUAUAAAUAUUAGGUGUACUUAAAAUACAAACAUUAAUAUAACAAAAUCAACAUUAAAAUUCAUUAAGUAAAUAACUAUGCAAUACUCCUAAUAAUACACCCAAAACACCCCCCUGUGUACGUCUCUGAGCUAUAUAUAUGUAUUUUUUAAUUGUUUUAUAAUGUUUGUUAUUUCUUCUAAGUGAUUGCUAGGAUACUAAAAAUAUGUCUAAUUACUUUUUUUUUUUAUUAUUUAAUUUUUAUUAUUUAUUUCAAAAUCCAUGUAAAACUGUAAAAUACAUUCACUCGAUUACCUUAAACUAAAA
Long non-coding RNA from Rhopalosiphum padi (bird cherry-oat aphid), 3316 nucleotides. RefSeq lists it as uncharacterized. The transcript is spliced from 5 exons. NCBI's taxonomy places the organism in Eukaryota, Metazoa, Arthropoda, Insecta, Hemiptera, Aphididae. The record is from RefSeq and is a predicted model, not a curated record.